Molecule: unclassified non-coding RNA, 207 nt
Filed under: Glomeraceae sp.
Lineage: Eukaryota; Fungi; Glomeromycota; Glomeromycetes; Glomerales; Glomeraceae
Description: partial contains 5.8S ribosomal RNA and internal transcribed spacer 2
Rfam family: 5.8S ribosomal RNA (bases 1-71)
Source: RNAcentral
GUGAAUCAUCGAAUCUUUGAACGCAAAUUGCACUCUCUGGUAUUCCGGAGAGUAUGCCUGUUUGAGGGUAAGUUUAAAUAAAAAUCGGUGUGGUUGCUGCCUUUCGUGGUGACGCACCGGAUUUGGGUUGUCUUGACUUUGGUUAAGUGACUUAAAAUUUUGCAUGAUUUUUUCGAACGAUUUUAAAUGAUUUUAAGUACGUUUGUG